GUGGGGAAUCUUGCGCAAUGGGCGAAAGCCUGACGCAGCAACGCCGCGUGCGGGAUGACGGCCUUCAAGGUUGUAAACCGCUUUCAGCAGGGACGAAAAUGACGGUACCUGCAGAAGAAGCCCCGGCUAACUACGUGCCAGCAGCCGCGGUAAUACGUAGGGGGCAAGCGUUGUCCGGAUUCAUUGGGCGUAAAGAGCUCGUAGGCGGUUCAGUAAGUCGGGUGUGAAAGCUCCGAGCUCAACUCGGAGAGGCCACCCGAUACUGCUGUUACUUGAGUACAGUAGGGGAGCGUGGAAUUCCUGGUGGAGCGGUGAAAUGCGCAGAUAUCAGGAGGAACACCAGCGGCGAAGGCGGCGCUCUGGGCUGUAACUGACGCUGAGGAGCGAAAGUGUGGGUAGCAAACAGGAUUAGAAACCCUAGUAGUCC
Molecule: ribosomal RNA, 427 nt
Filed under: uncultured bacterium
Lineage: Bacteria
Description: partial 16S ribosomal RNA
Rfam family: Bacterial small subunit ribosomal RNA
Source: RNAcentral